Molecule: microRNA precursor, 119 nt
Filed under: Medicago truncatula (barrel medic)
Lineage: Eukaryota; Viridiplantae; Streptophyta; Magnoliopsida; Fabales; Fabaceae
Description: MIR2679 microRNA precursor family
Rfam family: MIR2679 microRNA precursor family
Source: Rfam by way of RNAcentral
AUGGUGGUCCGAGACACAUACUUUUUAUUUUCGAACGGGUGAGUGUACAAUCAUGUUGGAAGAUGUAUAUAUUUUACUCGGCUUACCUUUUGGAGGACAAAUUGUUACGUGUCCUCCAA